This 115-nucleotide ribosomal RNA is filed under the name Petromyzon marinus (sea lamprey). Lineage: Eukaryota; Metazoa; Chordata; Hyperoartia; Petromyzontiformes; Petromyzontidae. The record is from RNAcentral.
GCCUACGACCAUAUCACCCUGAAUGCGCCCGAUCUCGUCUGAUCUCGGAAGCUAAGCAUGGUCGAGCCUUGUUAGUACUAAGAUGGGAGACUGCCUGGGAAUAGGAUGGGAGACU